AAAUUCAGGUUAGUAGUGGGAAAUUAAAAUAAGCUUUUUAGAAUAUAUCAUCGUCUUGCAAGUAUAAUUGAGAGCUCCACUUGGUCGAUUGAUAGGGUAAUUGUGAGCAACAUAUCCUUCACAUCAAAGGACUAUCAUUUAAAGGACUAAAGGUAAGUCAAACAUUCUUCCUCUAAAGUUGACACAACUUGGUAUUAGGCCAAAGCACAAUUUUCAACCCAGUUGAUCGAACAACAGUAGUGAAGGGACUUCAGAAUGAAAAACUUCUCUUUCUAUCUCCCUUUUACCGGGGACAUCUUCCUUUUAAAGACGUUGCUAGGCGAAUCUUGAGCCUACAAAUGAAAUUAUCUUCUCUUUAGCGAAGAUGUAAGUCAUACAUUUUGCUCAGUACGCCAUUACUUAGCUUAUACCCUCCUUUACAAGCUAAUUUGCAGGCUAACUAGUACUUUUAUGUUGUUCAAGUGUAUUUGACUGAGGGAGAGGCCUUGGAAGUUCAAGUAGCUUGUUAAGAACAUCCUUAAGGGGAAUCAAACCCAGAACUUAAGUGUUCCUUAUAGACCAUCAAAUUAUUGGAGCCUGGACCAUUGCUCGCCCUUUGCGAGCUUGUUGUGUGAGACAAUUUAUAUGAGAGGGAAUACUAUAAUGAUAGUGAUAGUUCAGCAGGUUGCCUGUGUCUAUAUUGGAUUGGAGAUUUUUCCACCUUAACGUUUUCCUGUUGAUCCAUAAGUUCAAGCUAAGAUUCUUGGGUGUAGGUUGGUUUACUCAAAUGGAAAAUUUGGCAAGAUGAACUUGCUUUAGGUGGAUCGAGUCAUCGAUGAGUUGGGUUCAUGGUGGGCUUAGGUCAUUAAGGAUGGUUCGUGCUUAAAGUUUCAGCCAUGGAAGUUGAACUUGGUCGACUAAUAUAUUGGUAGAGGAAAUUGCUCAUAAAGUUAGACAUGUGAAUGAAAAGUCCUUAGCAUUGCUUUAGUAAGUUCGACAUAUGUAUAGCAUUGGAAAUCAGUGAGUUUGGUUGACUAAUUAUUAAGCAAAGAAAAUUGCUUCGUAGGAUGGUUUGCUUGGUGUUGACAUUUAAAGAAAACAAAAGAUUCUCUAAGGAGAUAUGUCUUGAAAGUUCUUCUUUGUAUCUAGAUAUUUCAAUUAUGGCUUGAAGGUUCAAUCAUGGCUAGAUGGUUUGAUCAUGGCUUAAUGGUUUGUUUAUGACUUGUUAGUUCGAUAAGUUCGUGGAGGUUUGGUCAUGUGAACAGCUCAAUAAGUAUAGGUUCAAUCAUGUAGGGGCUUAGUAGGUUAAAAAUAAAUUACUUAAGGGUUUGAUCAUGGAAGUUGAGCUUGGUGGCUUGUGUAAGGCUCAACAACAAGGCAAAUUCAUGGAAAACUUUAAUGCUCAUGUUUAAGGCUCAGUAAGCAAAACAACAUUCAUUGAAAAUUCAAAUGAUCAUGUUCAAGGCUAGGCAAAAUAAAGAAAAGUUUAUAGAAAAUUUAAAUGUUUUCAAUUUCUUAAGAGCAUGGGGCAAGAUUCGAGAGAUGAAGGAAAAGUUUUAGUUUGUUUUUGUUUUAUUAUUGUUUUAUUAUUAAAAAGAAAUAAAUUACAAAUUGAAGAGAAGUUUUAAGAGAAAGAGUAAAAUUACCUCAUAAAGAGAGAGAGGUUUUACCUUUUGAUGAAGGGUUGUGAAAACACAAAUGGAGUGGGAUAAGAUAAUUUAUAGAAUAAUGGAGGAAACUUUUUAGGAUUUCAAAUUUGAAUAAAAAAAGGUUUUUCCCCCUUCUUUUUGCUGCCUCUUUGUGUCUUCUUU
This 1790-nucleotide long non-coding RNA is filed under the name Jatropha curcas. Its description in RNAcentral is "long non-coding RNA (JCUR_LNC001717)". Lineage: Eukaryota; Viridiplantae; Streptophyta; Magnoliopsida; Malpighiales; Euphorbiaceae. The record is from RNAcentral.